GUCUAGCUGGCUCAAUUAGCACAGCAUGUGACUCUUAAUCUUAGGGUUGUGGGUUUGAGCCCCACGUUGGGUG
RNAcentral lists this transfer RNA (73 nucleotides) under Canis lupus familiaris (dog). It matches the Rfam family "tRNA". From Rfam's summary of the family: Transfer RNA (tRNA) molecules are approximately 80 nucleotides in length. Their secondary structure includes four short double-helical elements and three loops (D, anti-codon, and T loops). Further hydrogen bonds mediate the characteristic L-shaped molecular structure. tRNAs have two regions of fundamental functional importance: the anti-codon, which is responsible for specific mRNA codon recognition, and the 3' end, to which the tRNAs corresponding amino acid is attached (by aminoacyl-tRNA synthetases). tRNAs cope with the degeneracy of the genetic code in two manners: having more than one tRNA (with a specific anti-codon) for a particular amino acid; and 'wobble' base-pairing, i.e. permitting non-standard base-pairing at the 3rd anti-codon position. RNAcentral also lists the same sequence under 1 other name. The record is from Rfam by way of RNAcentral. Lineage: Eukaryota; Metazoa; Chordata; Mammalia; Carnivora; Canidae.